CGUGCCGCUGGCCGAACGGUCGGUGGUGUGGUCGAUUCCGUCGGCCACCAUCCUGGGCCGGUUCGGCGCCGACCGCCGCGGCC
RNAcentral lists this transfer RNA (83 nucleotides) under Paractinoplanes tereljensis. RNAcentral describes it as "Actinoplanes tereljensis tRNA-Gly". The record is from RNAcentral. Lineage: Bacteria; Bacillati; Actinomycetota; Actinomycetes; Micromonosporales; Micromonosporaceae.